Molecule: unclassified non-coding RNA, 200 nt
Filed under: Trichoderma sp.
Lineage: Eukaryota; Fungi; Ascomycota; Sordariomycetes; Hypocreales; Hypocreaceae
Description: partial internal transcribed spacer 2
Source: RNAcentral
UUAAGUUCAGCGGGUAUUCCUACCUGAUCCGAGGUCAACAUUCCAGAAGUUGGGUGUUUAACGGCUGUGGACGCGCCGCGCUCCCGGUGCGAGUGUGCAAACUACUGCGCAGGAGAGGCUGCGGCGAGACCGCCACUGUAUUUCGGAGACGGCCACCGCCAAGAGGCAGGGCCGAUCCCCAACGCCGACCCCCCGGAGGG